This is a long non-coding RNA of Canis lupus familiaris (dog), 1315 nucleotides long. RefSeq lists it as uncharacterized. The record is from RefSeq and is a predicted model, not a curated record. NCBI's taxonomy places the organism in Eukaryota, Metazoa, Chordata, Mammalia, Carnivora, Canidae. The transcript is spliced from 4 exons.
GCUCCUCAAAACUGGGACUGGUCUUUCUGGUUCACUGGUUCACUGACAAUUAGCACCACCCCUAGCACAGUGCCCGGAUGUGUGUUGGUGGUCCAUUUCUAGUAGUGGAUAAGUGAAUCGACGUGCUUCCAUAUUCUAGAACAUGGCAGAAGGACCGACGGGAAGAAGUGAGAUGAGAGGGAGAUGCUGGAGGAUGCUUGAAAAGGAGAUUCCAGUCACACUCAAAAAAACAAUAUAGACUAUGAAUAUGUUACCGUUUCAACCAAAAUUUAUUCUUCAUAAUGCCGAAAAUGUCAAGGUCAAGAAAGACAAAUAAGACCUGAGGAAAUGUUCCAGAUUAAGAUAAAAUGGAGAUAUGACAACUAAAUACAACACGUGAUCCUGAAUUGGAUGGUAGAUUUGGGUAAAAAGAAUAUAAGGCACAUUAACGUAAGUUCAGUCGGUCAUAAGGAAAUACCAGAGACUGGGUUGUAUAAGCAACAGAAACUUAUUUUCUCACAGUUCCAGAGGCUGGAAGCCUAAGAUUAAGGUGUCAUUAAGAGAAAGUGACAGCAAGAAAGCCCUCUUGUGUCUCUUCCCAUAAGGGCACAAAUCCCAUCAGGAAGCUCUACUGUCAAGACCUCAUCUAUCCCACAUUACCUCCCAAAGACUCCAAUUCUGAAUACCAUUGAAUGAGGUGGUUAGGGCUUUAACAUACAAAUUCCAAGGAAACGAAACCAUUCAGUCCAUAAUACCCAACAACAGUCUAUUCUUGGUUUCCUUAAAACAACAAAAACUCACUCCCCAGAGGAGUGGGAAACUUUGAAAGGAGUUAGGAAGUCAUACUGGGUAGAGGAAAUUACAAAUAACACACAUAAGAAGUCCAGCUUUACUUAUAGCCAGAAAAUGAUUAAAAAUCAAACCAAACCAAUUACAAUAACAAAAAACCAAGAUAUUCUGAGGAUUUUAACCUAGAGAGGGAUGUUGUUAUAAUGCUUUAUAAGUGGGUAUAAUAUUUUUUUAAAGACUUAUUUAUUUGACAGAGAUAGAGAGCAGGCACGCAUGUAUGCAUAUGUGGUGGGGGUAGGGGACAGACAGAGAAACUUAAGCAGAAUCUGCACUGAAUGUGGAACCUGAAGUGGGGCUUGAUCUCCUGACACUUAGAUCAUGACCUGAGCCAAAACCAAGAGUCAGACACUCAAUCAAUUGUGCUACCCAGGCAGCCCUAAGUGGGUAAACAAACUCAGUAAAACGUCCAAUGAACAUCUAUUUAGGAAAUGUUUCUUUUUUUAAGAUUUAUUUAUUUUUGAGAGAGAGCACAUGCAGGUGCACUGGU